RNAcentral lists this long non-coding RNA (830 nucleotides) under Homo sapiens (human). RNAcentral describes it as "non-protein coding lnc-ZNF708-2:6". Lineage: Eukaryota; Metazoa; Chordata; Mammalia; Primates; Hominidae. The record is from RNAcentral.
CUCUUCACUGCCCUGUGUCUUCUUUCCAAGGGUCUCGGUGAUUCGGCCACAGCCUCAGCCUCCAUCACGCGGUGAACUGAUGGUGCUGGAAGAUUCAUAGACUCCAGGACAUUCCUGAAGCCGAGAAAAGGUUAAGUAGGGUCUGGCCUGGAAUACUCUCCUAGAUGAAGAUAGCCCAACCAUGAGCCACCUUCGAAGCAGAUGAGAUGAAAUUAAAGCUCUUCAACUCCUAAAGGCCCAGAGACUAUCACAAAAGAGGUCAGAAAUCCUGAAGGUCACUUUCUGACAAACUCAGGAACCCCAGGUUUAUCUUGGAGCCUCAAGAGGAGAUAAAUUCACCCAACUCAGGCUGGAGUGCAGUGGAAUGAUCUUGGCUCACUUCCGUCUCCGCCUUCCAGUUUCAAGUGAUUCUCCUGCCUCAGCCUACUGAGUAGUUGGGAUUACAGGUGCCUGCCACCACACCCAGCUAAUUUUUGUAUUUUUAGUAAAGAUGGGGUUUCACCAUGUUGGCCAGGCUGGUCUCAAACUCCUGACGUCAUGAUCUGCCCGCUUCAGUCUCCCAAAGUGUGAUUACAGAGUUUUGCUCUUGGUGCCCAGGCUGGAGUGCAUUGGCACGAUCUCUGGCUCACUGUGACCUCUGCCUCCCAGAUUCAAGUGAUUCUCCUGCCUCAGCCUCCUGAGUAGCUGGGAUUACGGGCAUGUGCCCCCAUGCCUGGCUAAUUUUGAAUUUUUAGUAGAAACAGGGUUUCUCCAUGUUGGUCAGGCUGGUCUUGAACUGCCAACCUCAGGUGAUCUGCCCACUUUGGCCUCCCAAAGUGCUGGGAUUACAG